GAUGAACGCUGGCGGCGUGCUUAACACAUGCAAGUCGAACGAUGAAGCCCAGCUUGCUGGGUGGAUUAGUGGCGAACGGGUGAGUAACACGUGAGUAACCUGCCCUUGACUCUGGGAUAAGCCUGGGAAACUGGGUCUAAUACUGGAUAUGACUUCUCAUCGCAUGGUGGGGGGUGGAAAGAUUUAUUGGUCUUGGAUGGACUCGCGGCCUAUCAGCUUGUUGGUGAGGUAAUGGCUCACCAAGGCGACGACGGGUAGCCGGCCUGAGAGGGUGACCGGCCACACUGGGACUGAGACACGGCCCAGACUCCUACGGGAGGCAGUAGUGGGGAAUAUUGCACAAUGGGCGCAAGCCUGAUGCAGCGACGCCGCGUGAGGGAUGACGGCCUUCGGGUUGUAAACCUCUUUCAGUAGGGAAGAAGCGAGAGUGACGGUACCUGCAGAAGAAGCGCCGGCUAACUACGUG
RNAcentral lists this ribosomal RNA (466 nucleotides) under uncultured bacterium. RNAcentral describes it as "partial 16S ribosomal RNA". It matches the Rfam family "Bacterial small subunit ribosomal RNA", at positions 28 to 507 of the family's 1533-position model. The record is from RNAcentral.